RNAcentral lists this transfer RNA (88 nucleotides) under Verrucomicrobia bacterium ADurb.Bin063. RNAcentral's name for it is "tRNA-Arg". The record is from RNAcentral. Lineage: Bacteria; Pseudomonadati; Verrucomicrobiota.
UCGCCGUUGGCGGCUCCGGCCUGCUCCCGCUCCGGGCGGGGGCCCAGGGCGCGGCCCCGGCGGCGGCGUCCGGCGCGUUGACGGUGGU